Molecule: ribosomal RNA, 594 nt
Filed under: Terribacillus saccharophilus
Lineage: Bacteria; Bacillati; Bacillota; Bacilli; Caryophanales; Bacillaceae
Description: bacterial SSU rRNA
Rfam family: Bacterial small subunit ribosomal RNA
Source: RNAcentral
AAUGGACGAAAGUCUGACGGAGCAACGCCGCGUGAGCGAUGAAGGCCUUCGGGUCGUAAAGCUCUGUUGUUAGGGAAGAACAAGUACGAGAGUAACUGCUCGUACCUUGACGGUACCUAACCAGAAAGCCCCGGCUAACUACGUGCCAGCAGCCGCGGUAAUACGUAGGGGGCAAGCGUUGUCCGGAAUUAUUGGGCGUAAAGGGCUCGUAGGCGGUUUCUUAAGUCUGAUGUGAAAGCCCACAGCUCAACUGUGGAGGGUCAUUGGAAACUGGGGAACUUGAGUGCAGAAGAGGAGAGUGGAAUUCCACGUGUAGCGGUGAAAUGCGUAGAUAUGUGGAGGAACACCAGUGGCGAAGGCGACUCUCUGGUCUGUAACUGACGCUGAGGAGCGAAAGCGUGGGGAGCAAACAGGAUUAGAUACCCUGGUAGUCCACGCCGUAAACGAUGAGUGCUAGGUGUUAGGGGGUUUCCGCCCCUUAGUGCUGAAGUUAACGCAUUAAGCACUCCGCCUGGGGAGUACGGCCGCAAGGCUGAAACUCAAAAGAAUUGACGGGGGCCCGCACAAGCGGUGGAGCAUGUGGUUUAAUUCGAA